AGGGUUUGAUUCUGGCUCAGGACGAACGCUGGCGGCGCGCCUAACACAUGCAAGUCGAACGGAGCUGAGAGGAGCUUGCUUUUCUUAGCUUAGUGGCGAACGGGUGAGUAACGCGUGAGUAACCUGCCCUGGAGUGGGGGACAACAGUUGGAAACGACUGCUAAUACCGCAUAAGCCCACGGCCCGGCAUCGGGCUGAGGGAAAAGGAUUUAUUCGCUUCAGGAUGGACUCGCGUCCAAUUAGCUAGUUGGUGAGGUAACGGCCCACCAAGGCGACGAUUGGUAGCCGGACUGAGAGGUUGAACGGCCACAUUGGGACUGAGACACGGCCCAG
This 333-nucleotide ribosomal RNA is filed under the name uncultured bacterium. RNAcentral's name for it is "bacterial SSU rRNA". It matches the Rfam family "Bacterial small subunit ribosomal RNA", at positions 8 to 334 of the family's 1533-position model. The record is from RNAcentral.